UAAUCUGCCCACUGGAUAAAUAAUUUAAUGGCCGCAGUAUUUUAACUGUGCAAAGGUAGCAUAAUAAUUAGUCUUUUAAUUGAAGGCUUGUAUGAAUGAUUGGACGAGAUAUAAACUGUCUCAUAAAAAUUUUUUUAGAACUUAAUUUUUUAGUAAAAAAGCUAAAAUAAAUUUAAAAGACGAGAAGACCCCAUAGAUCUUUAUAUUUUUUUUUAUUAUUAUUUUUUAGUUUUUUUAUAAAUUAAUAAAUAAAAAUAUUUUGUUGGGGUGACAUUGAAAUUUAAUAAACUUUCAAAAUUUUAUAACAUUAAUUUAUGAAUUUAUGAUCCUUUAUUAUUGAUUAAAAAUUUAAGUUACCUUGGGGAUAACAGCGUAAUUAUUUUGGAGAGUUCAUAUCGAUAAAAUAGAUUGCGACCUCGAUGUUGGAUUAAGAUUAAUUUUAGAUGUAGCAGUUUAAAGUAUUAAGUCUGUUCGACUUUUAAUUUCUUACAUGAUCUG
RNAcentral lists this ribosomal RNA (498 nucleotides) under Campsicnemus popeye. RNAcentral's name for it is "partial 16S ribosomal RNA". It matches the Rfam family "Bacterial large subunit ribosomal RNA", at positions 1854 to 2607 of the family's 2925-position model. Lineage: Eukaryota; Metazoa; Arthropoda; Insecta; Diptera; Dolichopodidae. The record is from RNAcentral.